GAUCGUUGAUUGAUCUCCAUGGAGACCCUUGCUACUUCCGUUAUUCACAAACGACGCCAUUUUGGUUGUUGCUGCUGCACUUUGUUUCCACGUCUGUGUUUGCAUUUUGCUCUUUAUCCCGCACGUAUCGCACGUUCUGCACGAUGUAUGCCACAGUUGCUUUGGUUUAUCAUCAAGUUCAGAUAUAUCAGUCGUGGGAGGGAUACAGACAAGUACCGGAUUCUAGAGUCACGAUGUGACAGACAAUGCCGAGCGAGGGAUGUUUCACAGCCGCUAUCGUAUCUCGCGAUCUCGAGACCAUGUACAAGAUUUUUAAGUUCAGUGAUUACAUAAUAAACUCCUUAUUGAACUUUA
Molecule: long non-coding RNA, 354 nt
Organism: Haliotis rufescens (red abalone)
Lineage: Eukaryota; Metazoa; Mollusca; Gastropoda; Lepetellida; Haliotidae
Exons: 2
Source: RefSeq, a predicted model, not a curated record